RNAcentral lists this ribosomal RNA (253 nucleotides) under uncultured bacterium. Its description in RNAcentral is "partial 16S ribosomal RNA". It matches the Rfam family "Bacterial small subunit ribosomal RNA", at positions 524 to 776 of the family's 1533-position model. The record is from RNAcentral.
UACGGAGGUUCCAAGCGUUGUUCGGAAUUACUGGGCGUAAAGGGAGCGCAGGCGGUUUGGUCAGUCUAAAGUGGAAGCCCGGGGCUCAACCUCGGAAAGCCUUUGGAUACUGCCAAACUUGAGUACGUGAGAGGAAGGCGGAAUUCAAGGUGUAGCGGUGAAAUGCUUAGAUAUCUUGAGGAACACCAAUGGCGAAAGCAGCCUUCUGGCACGAAACUGACGCUGAGGCUCGAAAGCGUGGGGAGCAAACAGG